RNAcentral lists this long non-coding RNA (8814 nucleotides) under Ananas comosus (pineapple). RNAcentral describes it as "long non-coding RNA (ACOM_LNC007207)". The record is from RNAcentral. Lineage: Eukaryota; Viridiplantae; Streptophyta; Magnoliopsida; Poales; Bromeliaceae.
AAAGAGAAGGAAAAGAAGAAAAAGAUGGAGAAGAAGAUGAUUACCUCCACCUUCAUCUUCCUCAUGCUUGGAGGAGCUUGAGAGGUAAGUUUCCUAUCACCUCUCAUGGUAGGAAUAGGGUUAGGGUUUGGUUUUUAAACCCUAAAACCUAGAGUUUUGAAGCUUCUAAUAUGUUUAGAACUUUGUAGAGACCUAGAACACAUGAAAUCCAAGUGUUCCUCAAAGUGCUCUAAUGGUGGAACCCUAGAGUUUGUUUUAAAUGCCCUAGGGAUGAUUCUAAUGAGAUGGAAGUAAGUUUAGAGAACUUCUUGGGUGAUUCUAAGCUCGAUUAUGUUUAGUUAUGAGAUCAAUCCCAAGAAAUUUGAUUAUGGCAUUGUUAAGGCACCGAAAUUGGGGCUUUUGCCUCCGGGUGUUUCUAAGGCAAAUUGGCCUUAUGGAAACCUAAUUGGGGACCUAACGAACGCGUUGAAACGCUCGGUUCGGCAAUCCGACGAGCGUACGCGAAGUUAUUGACGAAACGGUCGGUUUUGGUACAGAUAGCCGCAGCACGCGGAAUAAAGGUCUAAAAAUCAUGAGAUCGGAACUGGAGCACCUUGGAGUCAAGGAAUAAACUCCGGAAAAGACGGAUCGCGGUUCGGAGGUCGUUUGGAAGUCGCGCAAGAGUUCGGGCCAAACCGGGCAACGGUUGCCGCGGGAGGCCGAUUGCAAGUGACUACAAGCAAUCGGAGCGCGUGUUAAGGUGGGUUGGUUUACCGAAGCGACUAGGUCGCCUUUAUGUCUAAUUAUUAGACUUUCAUGUUGAUGCAUGUUGAUGAUCGGCAUAGUUGAUGCUAAGUAGAAAUGCAUAAUAUGAUGUAGAUGCUAAAGUUGAUGCAUAUAAAUGUAAAUGAUGCAUGUAGCUAAAUAAUGCAUGAUGAUAGUGUGAUGUAAUUGCUAAAUAGAAUGCAUUAUGAGCAUGUUGAAUAAAGCUAGAUAAUUAUGUGAAUGCAUGUAAGCAUAAUGCAUAGAAUGAAAUGCAUAUUGAUGAUAUAAGUUAAAAUGAGAUAUAGAAUGCAUGUUGACAUUGUGAGAUAAAUGUGCAUGAAACUAGGUUGAUAACCCUAGAAUGAUUAAAGUGAAUGAUGCUAUGCUAAAGUAUAAGUGAUAAGCAUGAUAUAAGAAUAGUAAAUGCAAGUGCAUGUUAAGAAUGCUAAGUAAGGAACAUAUAUAGGUGGACAUGAAUAAACCUAUAGAUCGAGUGGCAUUAAACCUAGUGUCGAGGACAUAGGUUAAAUAAAUGAGAUGUUGAACCUAAUGUAAAGAACAUAGGUUAAAUAAGAGGGAUGUUGAACCUAAUGUAAAGGACAUAGGUUGUGAAAUGAAAGCUGCUUAACCUAGAGUCAAGUAAACCUAGGUUGGAAAAGAAUGAUGAUCCUAGUGUAAUAAACCUAGGUUAAGAAUGUGAAAGCAAUAAACCUAAAGUAAUAACUUAGGUUGUGUAAAGGACAAUGAACCUAGAGUCGAUUGGACCUAGGAGAUAAAUGCUUAGACCUAGAGAGGUCAGUUCCAUAGGGUUAAGACCAACCCUUGGUUGAUGUGAUAUGGAUUCCGGAAUCCCGCUGCUUGCUGCUACACCCAAAGUGGUGUCGGGUGUGUGCGACGAUUUCGCCGCCCAGGGGCUAGAGAACCAUUGUCGUGGCGUGUGUGCGACGAUUUCGCCGCCGGAUGGUUAGCCAGUUUGUGGAUCCUACCGCCUGUUGACUGAACCACUGUCGUGGCGUGUGUGCGACGAUUUCGCCGCCGGGUGACUAAGUCAUUGAACCUAGGCCGUUGUUGGGUGAGGUGCGAUUCGUUCGCCGCCAGACGGCUAGGACAGGAGUACGGUGAGCUGUUGCCAGCUGAGGUGCAUGUGAGAGUUCCUUCACCUCGAGCUAGACAGUGCGCGGACUAUCCGCGAUUGAUUGACUCAAGACCGAGUCGGGUGGCUUUGUUGACUAAGGUAAAGUGACCUUAGAGUAGAAUGCCAAAGGCUAAGAGAUAGCAUGGUUCAAGAAUGUUAAGAGUAAAGAACAGCUAAACGAUAAUGAAUAGCUAAAGAGUAAAGAAUAGCUAAAGAACAAUGAAUAGAUAAUGAAAGGAAUAGCUAAGAGCUAAAAAUAAGCAUUAAAUGGCAAGGAGUAAAGAAUGAUUAAGAACAUAAGUAGUGUUAAAGUAACCUACUUGCAUGAUUACAGGUAUUGCAUAUUGCAUUUCGUGAGGCAUGACAUGUAUUUCAAUUGAAUAUAUAUCUGUUGUAUAUUGUUGAUCUAACAUGUUGUAGUGCCUCGUUAGACCUGUUGGCUGAGCUUGUUCUCUUGGGUGGCUAAACCCACUGAGGACUAUGGACAAUAGUCUCACCCCCGUGUUGCUGUUUUGGGGGUACAGGUAUACACGUGUGCGGCGCGGCGGCGGAAGGCGAGGACGUAGUUCUGCAGAUAGCGUCCUACCCAGAGACUGAGAUAGCAGUACCCGAGUUGGUGGUCUAGCUUUGGAGGUUUAAAAACAAAAAUAAACUUUUGUUUAAGUUGUAAAAGAAUCUGUAAUGAUUAUGAUUGCAUUUGGAGGUUAAUUGUAAAAGAAAAAUUAUGUUGUAAAAUGCAUCUAAGUUGAAUGCUGUAAUAACUUAGUAGUUAUGUUUUUGAUACUUCCUUAUGCAAUCUGUGAAUGAAUACUGUUCCUGUUUGGAACCUCUCGUAUUGUUUUGAUUGCGACGCCUUGGACGUACAGGGGAGACUCUGUCCGUUCGGCGGUCUGUCGGCGGCGCCGCGACCCGGCCAAAUUGGCGGGUGGUCGUGGGGCGUGACAGAUAAGAUGGUAUCAGAGCAUAAAGUAGAGAAUGGGAAUGGUUUAGGCAGACCUAGGAGACCCUAGGAUAGUGAAACCAUAGAGGUUAAGACUCGUGAGAGACGAGGAUUUGUGACUUGUGGCGAAAGAUAAUUAAUUGGGUCAAGUGUUGAAACCUCUAAGACGGAUAUUGGAGGUAGAUUCAAGGUGUUGUUGAUUCUCAACCGAGGGUGUUCAUGUUGGGUGCACACAACAUGAAGCCGAGCGAUGAGAAUAGACUCCCUUGCGUGACUUUCGCCCGAUUGGCUUUUGAGCCGGUGUUAAUGGUCUCGUGUUCGACUCAAGUUGGUCGGGAACUAAUCAAAUUGUCGUGUUUCAGGAAACGAUGGCACCGCGUAGGCGAUCUUCAUCCAGAUCGGCGCGGGAGGGGACAAGUGGUGAUCCCGAGCGAACCGACGCUAGCGGAGACUCAGAGCUUCGUGAUCAGUUGGCCACACUUAUAGGAGUGAUGAGGCAACAAGCUGAUGUAGUGCAGAGGCAACAGGAGGCUGCUAUGCGCCAGGAGGAACAAAUGAAAAGACUCCAGGAAACAGUGGAUCGGCUGGUGGCUGCGCCAGUUGCGGCUGGUCAAGGACAGCCGGGAGUUGCAGCGGGGGCAUUUCCGUCGGCUUUGGGUGAUCCAACUUCUAUUGGUUCAGAGGUGGUGGCGAAAAGGGAGCGAGCCUUGGCGGCUCUCAUGGCUUUCAAGAAGUUUGAUCCGCCUAUCUUUGAUGGAGAGGACACAGAUCCGUGGAUCGUGGAGAUGUGGACUGAUUCCAUGAAAACGCUCUUCGAGGAUUUGUACACGUUGGAGCGGGACAAGGUAAACCUAGCCGUGCACUACUUGAGACAGUCGGCGAAGGUGUGGUGGAAAGGCGUUAAGCGAGAUCGAUCGCCUAGUCUCCCUCCUAUGACUUGGGAAGAGUUUCGGGGAUUGGUGUUCUCAGCCCAUUUCCCCGACAAUGAAAAGCGAAAGCUUAAGGAAAGAUUCCAAAAGUUGCGGCAAGGAGAUCGCUCAGUUAGGCAAUACGAGCGGGAAUUCUCUCGUAUCGUGCAUUGUAUCCCAAACGUGGUGCGGGAUGACAAGGAUAAGGCCGACUGCUUUGUGCGUGGGCUUCGGCCGGAUCUUUACCAGGCUGUGCUCGUACUUAAGAUACAGACUUUUGCUGAGGUCUUGGAUCGGGCCUUGUGGAUAGAACAGGGCAACGCCUUUAUGCGGGAAGAGCGAGAGGCAUAUUACAAGGAAAAGGGGAAAGGACGACCAACAGGUGGAUCCAGUGGUCAGUCAAGUUCCCAACGGACUUCGACGAGUUCGCACUCGCGAUCCCGAGCUCCGGGGACAUACCGCAUUCGGUCCUCGGCGAAGUGUGCUAUUUGUGGAGGCCCUCAUUUUCCACAGCAAUGUGAACAGCGAGAGGGCAAGUGCUUCAAGUGUGGGCUGUCGGGCCAUAUGCGGGACGAGUGUCCGCGUGGUGAUGGCCGGGCCUUGGCACUGGCGACGGCCCAUUCCUCUCUGGGACAACCUGCAGGUGUGCCACCUGCGGUAUGGUCGGGAUAGCGGCCGUUUAGGACGAUGCAACCAGAGGGUUUGCGACGAACGCCAAGUGGGCAUGGAUAAGCGACCCGAAUUGCGGAGCCUGUCGCUGCUGACGUCAUCGUGGCAGGUAUGAGUUAAUUGAGAAAACAUGUGCUUUUACUAAUCUCAAGCUGGUGCAUAGCAUGCAUUUAUUGUUGGUCGGUUGCUACUAAUUAUAUAUUGCAUUUAUUGCAUAGUUGGGUAAGUAGACACCCGUACACACUUGCAUUGUGAGAAGUGGUACCUGCUGGUGCAAGUAGAAAGCCAAGUGGUGCUAGCUAAUGGCUAGUGAUGAUUCUCCGAUAAGCAAUGAGGCUCGUGGAGAACGUGGUCUAGUAAGUGACUCUCGAAAUAAUGGAUUGGAAAUUAUGGGAGUUGAGCCUGAUGUUGAGGGUACUCGAAAGACUCGGGAGUUGAGAAUGUGUUCCGGUAGAUCGGACAGUGAAAGUAGAAUCACAGUGGUGAGAGUAGCCGUGUAGUUGACGGACGCGGGCCUGUUGGCCUAGUAAUACCGCGAAGUUGAGGUGGACGAGUUGUGCUCAUGUAGUGGACGUGCAUAGGCAAGCUGCCUGAUGCUGGAUUUCAUGUUAGACGCUGUAGAGGCGUAGAGCGCUCGAGUAUAGUUACUCGUGAGGUGCGGUUUCGAUUCAGCCGGUUGAGUGAGUUGACAGUAGCACUUUAGCAAGGCUAAGUGUGAAGCGGGCCAUGGAUCACUCAUGGGGCUGGUGGCUCGCACAAGGUGCUUAGGAGCCGAUAGUGGUACUUGUAGCUCUGUAGAGCAUGUCGUGUAGGACGACGUUGGUGGGUAGUGCUUGGGGACGACCCGUGUUUGGACCACUUGUGGACUAUGGAGCCUGGUGGGCAGGCGCAGUCAGCUGUGAGAGACAGCGGCUCGGUACCUAUUGGUAGGGCGAGAGUUUUGAUCAGGACGGUAGUCCGAGCUUGGACCCGAGUGCGUGGAAUGUCACGUGUUAGAAUGCGAGAUUUGCAAUACACCGAGUGUGUUGUGACCCAACCCGAGGACUUGACGUGGUUUGGGGUCUUGAUAGCUCCUGGUUGGAGUGUGUGCGAGUUCUCCAAUGAGAAUGUCGCCCAAUGAUGAUUGGGUCUACGCUUGCGAGCGAGAGACGCUAAGCGUCGUUGAGACGAGUUUAGUCGGUAGGCCUACGUAGGAUUGGUGACCUUUGGUCCACCUGAGGAAAUCGAUGAUUGAUGUAACCAAGGACUCUGUAAGUGAGUUGGGCUCGGAUCCACGAACGGAGGUUCGUGUGACGUUGAUUGUGGCUCAUGACAUCAAGGGAUAAAGAGAAAGUUAAGUGGUCUCUAGGAGACACUGGAAUGAUGGAUAGCCACGUGCGGAUAUUGCUCUAAAAAAGGAUUGAGAUCUGAGAUGUGCGCGAGUGUGCCAUCUCGUGAUAGAGCAGGAAUUUGAUGGAGGUUGAAGCACUCGCGAUGGGCCGAUGCACCAAUGAUUUUGUCGUUAUGCAAUGCCGGUGGUCGGAAUCAAAGUGAAAAGGUGCGUUGGUUCCCUCAAUAACUCGAUAGAUCGAGUGGAGAUGUGGUUUGAAUUUCGCGGACGAAAUUCUUUUAAGGGGGGGAGAAUGUAACCCCCGAGAUCUCGGUGAAAUAUUGUGGACUUUAGCCAAAUUGACUAAAGUACUCGAAAGGAUUGGUUGGACGCGAUCCAUUAACAUCCCAACCAUGUUAGAAGGGUUAAAAAUGAGUUCUAAAAGAGUUAGAAAGGUUUUAGCGUUGUCCGGCGCGAAAUAGAGUCGAAAACAAGCUAAAAACCAAGUCUGGAGCAUUGUGUACCGGUACAAGUUGAUGGUUGUACCGGUACAACAAGCAACCCGAAGAAUGGCAACUCUCGGGUUUGAGUGAAAAAGGCUGUUAAACCGGUGACACGGGAAAGUGUACCGGUACACUUUGGCAGAAUGGCAAAGAUUUGGUUUGCUGCAAUUAUAAUUGAUUGGAGGGGUUUAUUUGUAAUUGUUACCUAAUGUAAUAGCCCUAAACCCCUCUCCCUCACAGCAGAUCUCUCUCCUGUCUCUCCCUCUCGUGUCUCUCCCUCUCUCUCUCAACCGGUUGCAAGAAAAAGAGAAGGAAAAAGAGAAGGAAAAGAAGAAAAAGAUGGAGAAGAAGAUGAUUACCUCCACCUUCAUCUUCCUCAUGCUUGGAGGAGCUUGAGAGGUAAGUUUCCUAUCACCUCUCAUGGUAGGAAUAGGGUUAGGGUUUGGUUUUUAAACCCUAAAACCUAGAGUUUUGAAGCUUCUAAUAUGUUUAGAACUUUGUAGAGACCUAGAACACAUGAAAUCCAAGUGUUCCUCAAAGUGCUCUAAUGGUGGAACCCUAGAGUUUGUUUUAAAUGCCCUAGGGAUGAUUCUAAUGAGAUGGAAGUAAGUUUAGAGAACUUCUUGGGUGAUUCUAAGCUCGAUUAUGUUUAGUUAUGAGAUCAAUCCCAAGAAAUUUGAUUAUGGCAUUGUUAAGGCACCGAAAUUGGGGCUUUUGCCUCCGGGUGUUUCUAAGGCAAAUUGGCCUUAUGGAAACCUAAUUGGGGACCUAACGAACGCGUUGAAACGCUCGGUUCGGCAAUCCGACGAGCGUACGCGAAGUUAUUGACGAAACGGUCGGUUUUGGUACAGAUAGCCGCAGCACGCGGAAUAAAGGUCUAAAAAUCAUGAGAUCGGAACUGGAGCACCUUGGAGUCAAGGAAUAAACUCCGGAAAAGACGGAUCGCGGUUCGGAGGUCGUUUGGAAGUCGCGCAAGAGUUCGGGCCAAACCGGGCAACGGUUGCCGCGGGAGGCCGAUUGCAAGUGACUACAAGCAAUCGGAGCGCGUGUUAAGGUGGGUUGGUUUACCGAAGCGACUAGGUCGCCUUUAUGUCUAAUUAUUAGACUUUCAUGUUGAUGCAUGUUGAUGAUCGGCAUAGUUGAUGCUAAGUAGAAAUGCAUAAUAUGAUGUAGAUGCUAAAGUUGAUGCAUAUAAAUGUAAAUGAUGCAUGUAGCUAAAUAAUGCAUGAUGAUAGUGUGAUGUAAUUGCUAAAUAGAAUGCAUUAUGAGCAUGUUGAAUAAAGCUAGAUAAUUAUGUGAAUGCAUGUAAGCAUAAUGCAUAGAAUGAAAUGCAUAUUGAUGAUAUAAGUUAAAAUGAGAUAUAGAAUGCAUGUUGACAUUGUGAGAUAAAUGUGCAUGAAACUAGGUUGAUAACCCUAGAAUGAUUAAAGUGAAUGAUGCUAUGCUAAAGUAUAAGUGAUAAGCAUGAUAUAAGAAUAGUAAAUGCAAGUGCAUGUUAAGAAUGCUAAGUAAGGAACAUAUAUAGGUGGACAUGAAUAAACCUAUAGAUCGAGUGGCAUUAAACCUAGUGUCGAGGACAUAGGUUAAAUAAAUGAGAUGUUGAACCUAAUGUAAAGAACAUAGGUUAAAUAAGAGGGAUGUUGAACCUAAUGUAAAGGACAUAGGUUGUGAAAUGAAAGCUGCUUAACCUAGAGUCAAGUAAACCUAGGUUGGAAAAGAAUGAUGAUCCUAGUGUAAUAAACCUAGGUUAAGAAUGUGAAAGCAAUAAACCUAAAGUAAUAACUUAGGUUGUGUAAAGGACAAUGAACCUAGAGUCGAUUGGACCUAGGAGAUAAAUGCUUAGACCUAGAGAGGUCAGUUCCAUAGGGUUAAGACCAACCCUUGGUUGAUGUGAUAUGGAUUCCGGAAUCCCGCUGCUUGCUGCUACACCCAAAGUGGUGUCGGGUGUGUGCGACGAUUUCGCCGCCCAGGGGCUAGAGAACCAUUGUCGUGGCGUGUGUGCGACGAUUUCGCCGCCGGAUGGUUAGCCAGUUUGUGGAUCCUACCGCCUGUUGACUGAACCACUGUCGUGGCGUGUGUGCGACGAUUUCGCCGCCGGGUGACUAAGUCAUUGAACCUAGGCCGUUGUUGGGUGAGGUGCGAUUCGUUCGCCGCCAGACGGCUAGGACAGGAGUACGGUGAGCUGUUGCCAGCUGAGGUGCAUGUGAGAGUUCCUUCACCUCGAGCUAGACAGUGCGCGGACUAUCCGCGAUUGAUUGACUCAAGACCGAGUCGGGUGGCUUUGUUGGCUAAGGUAAAGUGACCUUAGAGUAGAAUGCCUGUAAUACACUGAAUUUUUGCAAAUUGCGAAAUUCGAGUGUGAGAAAUGAUGUGUGGAACUCUUCUACAUGUUCUAUAGGACUUGGACAAGCUUUUGGAUAAGUUAGAGGAUGAUUGGAAUGCUAAAAGUGAGAAAAUGCAUUGAUCUGCGAAAAUCAGCAUUUUUUCUGCUUGUUGUACCGGUACAGCCAUCACCUUGUACCGGUACAGCAUAGGCAGAUUUGUGGCAGCUUGGGUAUUUUUGUAAUUUCACAUCUUACCCUUAACUAUACCCCCCUGCACGACCC